GUACACUCCUACGGGAGGCAGCAGUGAGGAAUAUUGGACAAUGGGUGGAAGCCUGAUCCAGCCAUCCCGCGUGCAGGAAGACGGCCCUAUGGGUUGUAAACUGCUUUUAUCUGGGGAUAAACCUACUUACGUGUAAGUAGCUGAAGGUACCAGAAGAAUAAGCACCGGCUAACUCCGUGCCAGCAGCCGCGGUAAUACGGAGGGUGCAAGCGUUAUCCGGAUUUAUUGGGUUUAAAGGGUCCGUAGGCGGACUGAUAAGUCAGUGGUGAAAUCCGACAGCUUAACUGUCGAACUGCCAUUGAUACUGUUAGUCUUGAGUAAGGUUGAAGUGGCUGGAAUAAGUAGUGUAGCGGUGAAAUGCAUAGAUAUUACUUAGAACACCAAUUGCGAAGGCAGGUCACUAAGUCUUAACUGACGCUGAUGGACGAAAGCGUGGGGAGCGAACAGGAUUAGAAACCCUGGUAGUCCCA
This 470-nucleotide ribosomal RNA is filed under the name uncultured organism. RNAcentral describes it as "partial 16S ribosomal RNA". It matches the Rfam family "Bacterial small subunit ribosomal RNA", at positions 331 to 797 of the family's 1533-position model. The record is from RNAcentral.